Molecule: ribosomal RNA, 774 nt
Filed under: uncultured Neocallimastigales
Lineage: Eukaryota; Fungi; Neocallimastigomycota; Neocallimastigomycetes; Neocallimastigales
Description: partial large subunit ribosomal RNA
Rfam family: Eukaryotic large subunit ribosomal RNA
Source: RNAcentral
UCAGACGAUGCGUCAUGCAUAUCAAUAAGCGGAGGAAAAGAAACUAACAAGGAUUCCCCUUAGUAACGGCGAGUGAAGCGGGAAGAGCUCAAAUUUGAAAUCUUCAAGGGUUUACCUUUACGAAUGUAGUUUAAAGAAGUGUUUUCUGCUGAGGUUUUGGUAAAAGUUCUUUGGAAUAGGACAUCAUAGAGGGUGAGAAUCCCGUAUUUGACCAUUAUUUUCAGCUUUGUGAUACACUUUCAAAGAGUCGGAUUGUUUGGGAAUGCAGUCCAAAAUGGGUGGUAAAUUUCAUCUAAAGCUAAAUAUUGGCGAGAGACCGAUAGCGAACAAGUACCGUGAGGGAAAGAUGAAAAGAACUUUGAAAAGAGAGUUAAACGGUACGUGAAAUUGUCAAAAGGGAAGCGUUUGACACCAGUGUUGUUUUCUCGAAAAUCAAUUAAAAAUGGCUCGAUUUUGUAUUGCUGAGACCUUAAAAGCUCACUGUACAUUUUUCGUGUCUUUUUUAAUGCACUUUUCGUUUAACAAGUUAACAUCAGUUUCUUUUGUUGUAAAAGGGUCAUUGGAAGGUGGCUUUCUUUUCGGAGAAAGUGUUUAUAGCCUUUGGCCUCUGCAAUCGGAGAGACUGAGGUCUGCAGCGUAGACUCUUCGGGGUUAGAUACAUUUGUGCUAAGUUAUAGCUUUUUAUAGACAACUUGUUGACUAUAAUUAGUCUUGUAGCUUACUCGCUUAUGCUAUUUUACCUACGCUUAGGAUGUUGACGAUCAGCUGAGCGCG